This 497-nucleotide ribosomal RNA is filed under the name uncultured bacterium. RNAcentral's name for it is "partial 16S ribosomal RNA". It matches the Rfam family "Bacterial small subunit ribosomal RNA", at positions 28 to 507 of the family's 1533-position model. The record is from RNAcentral.
GACGAACGCUGGCGGCGUGCCUAAUACAUGCAAGUUGAGCGCUGAAGGUUGGUACUUGUACCAACUGGAUGAGCAGCGCACGGGUGAGUAACGCGUGGGGAAUCUGCCUUUGAGCGGGGGACAACAUUUGGAAACGAAUGCUAAUACCGCAUAAAAACUUUAAACACAAGUUUUAAGUUUGAAAGAUGCAAUUGCAUCACUCAAAGAUGAUCCCGCGUUGUAUUAGCUAGUUGGUGAGGUAAAGGCUCACCAAGGCGAUGAUACAUAGCCGACCUGGGAGGGUGAUCGGCCACAUUGGGACUGAGACACGGCCCAAACUCCUACGGGAGGCAGCAGUAGGGAAUCUUCGGCAAUGGACGAAAGUCUGACCGAGCAACGCCGCGUGAGGGAAGAAGGUUUUCGGAUCGUAAAACUCGGUUGGUAGAGAAGAACGUUGGUGAGAGUGGAAAGCUCAUCAAGUGACGGUAACUACACAGAAAGGGACGGCUAACUACGUG